Molecule: long non-coding RNA, 866 nt
Filed under: Solanum tuberosum (potato)
Lineage: Eukaryota; Viridiplantae; Streptophyta; Magnoliopsida; Solanales; Solanaceae
Description: long non-coding RNA (STUB_LNC005378)
Source: RNAcentral
GUUUACCUCAUUAUUAUGGAUUUGAUUGUUGCUAGAGACAUUUUUUUACCUUUUUGAACUUACUUGCCGAAAGUUACGAUUCCACCUCUGCUUCUAGAUAAGGUUGCAAAUUGUAUACAUAUAUGUAUAACUUAUAUAUUUUCUUUUUUAAAAAGUGCAUAAUUCAAAUGGAUACAAUAAAAUUGUACACUUUGUAGAUUUUACGCUCUAAAAUUAAGAUAUAACCUUUUGAUAGAUUAACACAAGAUAUAACCUUUUGACAGAUUAACACAAGAUAUAAUAGACGUUUGACUAUAUAUUUCAAUUAAAAAUACUUUAUUUAAAAUUAUUAAUUUAAUUUAAAUAUCUUGUGUGAGUAAAUUCUUUACCAAUAUACGAUAUCAGUGUGAAGUGUGAACUGAAACUCAAUUGUAAGAAUUAUGGGAGAGGUAUGGAGAUUGGAGAGCAUAUAUAAUGUCUAUUAAUGAUAUAGAUAUAAUGAACAAUUAAUUAAUGAGGGAAGUACAAGUCUGAAAUCGACAGUGGCCAAUAAUUCAAUUAAUCAAGACUUUAAAAAAUAUAAUAUAUCACACAUUGCAUUCAUAUGAACCGUUUUUAUAUUAUUUAAUGAACCUUAUAUAAUAAUGAACUCAAUAAUUACUUCCUUAAUUUUAAAUUAUAUGUUUGUUACACGUCUCUUGCAAAAUAAUAGUAGUUAGAAGGCUUUUCUUCAUUAUUUCACCCUCAUUUAUAUUUUAAAGAGAUAUUAUAGUUUAUUUCACCAAUUUUUUAGAAGAUAAAAAAUGCUUAUUUUUAAAAAAUGAGGUAUUUAAUCGAGUUUAUAAUAAAAAAUAAAUGUUUUGGAGAGUAGUAGAAACUGUUUUUAU